Long non-coding RNA from Beta vulgaris subsp. vulgaris (sugar beet), 2268 nucleotides. RefSeq lists it as uncharacterized. The record is from RefSeq and is a predicted model, not a curated record. Lineage: Eukaryota; Viridiplantae; Streptophyta; Magnoliopsida; Caryophyllales; Amaranthaceae. The transcript has 3 exons.
AAUAAAAAAGAAUAUGUUACAAAUCUUCCUACUUUAGCAAGGAUAGUUUUAUUUAUUUAGGAGAAGUAAGACUAUCAUAUCACUAAAGGGGAAUAAGCAACCAAGUUAGGUAGGUUAUAAUGGGAAACAAACAAGAAAAAUUACGUGCCAAAGAAAGGAGGAAAAAGAAAGAUAAAUAAGAACAAGUUGCUCAGAAAUUCUGAUGGGAGUAACCCAAGAAGAGGAACCACCCAGAUCAUUCCAAGAGAGAUACGUCCAUACAAUAUACCAUCCUAGACUUAUAAAGGGAACCCCACACCAAAAUUCACACCCAAACUCACACUAAAAUACUUUACCCAGAACAACUCUUUCUCUCGCCAGAAUCACGCUGGGAAGCAGCGUCCUGCAUCUGGUGGCUCCUUCUUCAAUUUCAAUUCCAUUUAUUUUGCAUGCAAACUAAUUAGGAUACUCUAACCUUGUAGGUACACACUAGGUGGCAAAGAAUUUCAAGAAAAACAAAGGGAAACUUAGAAAAUUUGAGGAGGAAAGAUACAUUAAGGGGACAAGAUAUAAAUCUAAGGAAAGAAUUGUUGAAGGAACUUAGGGGAAAUUAAGCUAAGAAACAAGCAAACCGAGGUAUAAUCAACUUGUGGUGGUGGACUUUUGUAGAGGAACUUCAAUUGACGUUCUUAAACAUCAACGAGGCACGGUUCAAAGGUAUAAUAUCUUAACUCCCUCCUGUAGAUUUAUUAUAGUAUUUUUAGGGUGUUCUUGGGAAUAGGUUUUGUACAAAUUGUUUGUAUUUCCGCAUCGUAAAUCCUAAUAUCAUGUUGUAGUGAUAAAAAAUACAGUAGAUAUGGUUGCAUGCAUGCUUAAUCAACAUAGACAAGGUUUAUUGAUAAGAUGAUUUAGGAAGUAGGUUAUGAUCUUUAUGUAUGUGUAUGUGGUAAUUGAUGAUUGCAAUGAUGAAUGAGGAAUGGAAAACUUAUAUGUAUCUACUGCCUUAAAGUAAUAAUCUUACCUAAUUAGUAAGAGAUUUCUAAAUUAAUUUUGGUUAAUGUACAAUUCUUUGGUGAUACAUGUUACUUUGAUCUUGUGACAAGAACCGUACAUGUACACUUGCUCUUUUACACAACGACUACUUUCGAAUAGUUUGUCAUUAAUAAAUAGGUACUUGUAAUGCCGUGGAAGUAAGUGAAGAACGUAUUCUUCCAUAUUACUAAGGUUUGUAGUAAGAUAAACAUUAUGAUAUUUAGUUGAAAGAGAAUCGAGAAAUUUAUUAAUGAUAGGGGAAGAUACUGCGAUAGUAGUGAUGAACACAUUGUUUUUGUGUGUACGUAAGAGAAUGAUAGGACAUGUCCUGGAUUAAGUCUUGCAAGCAGUACAUAAGUAGUUUUGGGAAGACGUUCUCAUGAGUAUAGAGGAGGCAUAUUAGCCACUCUAUUCGUGCUUCUUUCCCAGUUAAUUGCAGAAGUAAAGCGUUAAGAGAACUAUGUUGAGACUAAGUUUCCUAAGAUCGUGGUUGAAGGUAUAAAGAGCCCCAGGUCGAAUUAUACCUUAAGGUAUUAUCAGAUACAUGUAGUUAAAUAAUGAGUUUUCUUCUUCUUAUAAAAGUACGCGAGUCAAGAACCUUUCCCGUGUAAGGCAAACUUGAGAACUAGAAAAGUCAUGUACCAGUUACGCUGAUUUGGUUGUUAUUGUUGUUCCUAAACUACCCUCCCGGGCAGUGACAGAAUUGCAGGGCUAGGUCAGGAGGUUGUUGUUUGGACUAUGUGAAGCACAUGCCACCGUGUUGCUAAACUUAGAUGCUAUUAUUUUGCCAUGUCCAUAAUAUCUUGAAAUGUAAUGUAAUUAUGGUUAUGUAUUUUGAGUAUGUUUCUAUGUAAAAUUUUUUUACUAAAAAUAUGGUUUGCAAUAGCUAUUAAUAAUUUAUUUAAAACGAAAAGGUGGUAAGAUACUUCCAAGUCUUGAGGGUUCCCUUACAUAGAAGGGAAAUUGCAAGCUUCAUAACGUCACCUAAUUAUCUAUAGCUUAUUUACGUUAUUAAUAGCACUAAUCUAAGCAGCUAAUUAGGUGAGCUGUUACAGGGUUCUUCUCGUUACUAUAUAUAUACACGGGGUUAUCAAUGAGAAUUUUCAUAUACUUCCUGCUUUCUAAAAUAAAUGAAAUACUUACCAUUUUAGGCCAUUUCAGAUUAAAUGACACGUUACUUUAUUUGGUAUUCAUUUCUCUCUCCUCUCUCCUCUCUCCUCAUCACAUGGGCCUAUCUUUUUCUUUAUCUCUAUCUUU